GGGCGAGUGGCGGAACUGGCAUACGCGUACGGCUCAGAACCGUAUCCCGCAAGGGUUGAGGGUUCAAGUCCCUCCUCGCCCA
This 82-nucleotide transfer RNA is filed under the name Candidatus Uhrbacteria bacterium RIFCSPLOWO2_02_FULL_48_12. Its description in RNAcentral is "tRNA-Leu". It matches the Rfam family "tRNA". Rfam says of the family: Transfer RNA (tRNA) molecules are approximately 80 nucleotides in length. The record is from RNAcentral. Lineage: Bacteria; Candidatus Uhriibacteriota.